Molecule: long non-coding RNA, 290 nt
Organism: Papilio machaon (common yellow swallowtail)
Lineage: Eukaryota; Metazoa; Arthropoda; Insecta; Lepidoptera; Papilionidae
Exons: 2
Source: RefSeq, a predicted model, not a curated record
UAGAUAUAAUUUGGAAGUUUCGUUGAAGGCGGAAACUACCAAUGAGGAGGAUGACGAUGAAGAAUAUAAUACAAUGGCACUACUAGAACUAGCUCAAUGUGUACAAACCAAUCAUGAUCCCAUUGAGUUUGACUCAACCGAGGCUGCUGUUAACCCAAAGACGGGUCUAAUGAUGUGUUUACACUGCUUCGAGGAUGUUGACAGCAAUUUGUUAGCUGACCAUAUGAUUAAUGCUCACAGUUAUAGAAGAUUGCAACUUAAAUGUCGCAUUUGUGAUACUACAUUCCAGG